RNAcentral lists this ribosomal RNA (345 nucleotides) under uncultured eukaryote. RNAcentral describes it as "SSU rRNA". It matches the Rfam family "Eukaryotic small subunit ribosomal RNA", at positions 594 to 945 of the family's 1831-position model. The record is from RNAcentral.
AUAGCGUAUAUUAAAGUUGUUGCAGUUAAAAAGCUCGUAGUUGAACCUUGGAUCUGGCUGCUCGGUCCGCCUAACCGCGUGCACUGAUGCGGCCGGAUCUUUCCUUCUGGCUAGCCUCAUGCUCUUCACUGGGUGUGUUGGGGAUCCAGGACUUUUACUUUGAAAAAAUUAGAGUGUUCAAAGCAGGCCUAUGCUCGAAUACAUUAGCAUGGAAUAAUAGAAUAGGACGGCGGUUCUAUUUUGUUGGUUUCUAGAGCCACCGUAAUGAUUAAUAGGGAUAGUCGGGGGCAUCAGUAUUCAAUUGUCAGAGGUGAAAUUCUUGGAUUUAUUGAAGACUAACUACUG